GUCCACGCCGUAAACGAUGUCGACUAGCCGUUGGGAAACUUGCUUUCUCAGUGGCGUAGCUAACGCGCUAAGUCGACCGCCUGGGGAGUACGGCCGCAAGGUUAAAACUCAAAUGAAUUGACGGGGACCCGCACAAGCGGUGGAGUAUGUGGUUUAAUUCGACGCAACGCGAAGAACCUUACCUGCUCUUGACAUGUCGAGAACUUUCCAGAGAUGGAUUGGUGCCUUCGGGAACUCGAACACAGGUGCUGCAUGGCUGUCGU
RNAcentral lists this ribosomal RNA (263 nucleotides) under uncultured bacterium. Its description in RNAcentral is "partial 16S ribosomal RNA". It matches the Rfam family "Bacterial small subunit ribosomal RNA", at positions 793 to 1055 of the family's 1533-position model. The record is from RNAcentral.